RNAcentral lists this unclassified non-coding RNA (237 nucleotides) under uncultured Russula. RNAcentral's name for it is "sequence contains ITS2". The record is from RNAcentral. Lineage: Eukaryota; Fungi; Basidiomycota; Agaricomycetes; Russulales; Russulaceae.
CAUUCUCAAAACCUUUUUGGUUUCUUAACCAGGAAGGCUUUGGACUUUGGGGGCUUUGCUGGUCUUCCCUUGUUGAAGCCCAGCUCCUCUGAAAUGAAUUAGUGGGGUCCCCUUUGCUGAUCCUUGACGUGAUAAGAUGUUUCUACGUCCGGGGUUUCGCACUGUUUGCUCUGGAUCCUGCUUCUAAUCGUCUCAUAGAAGACAAAUGGUCGAGUGGAUUGCCACUUGACCCACAAA